CAGCCGCCGCGGUAAUACGAAGGGUGCAAGCGUUACUCGGAAUUACUGGGCGUAAAGCGUGCGUAGGUGGUGGUUUAAGUCCGUUGUGAAAGCCCUGGGCUCAACCUGGGAAUUGCAGUGGAUACUGGGUCACUAGAGUGUGGUAGAGGAUAGUGGAAUUUCCGGUGUAGCAGUGAAAUGCGUAGAGAUCGGAAGGAACAUCUGUGGCGAAGGCGACUAUCUGGGCCAACACUGACACUGAGGCACGAAAGCGUGGGGAGCUAACAGAAUUAGAUACCCCCGUAGUCCCUGUCUCUUAUAC
RNAcentral lists this ribosomal RNA (301 nucleotides) under uncultured bacterium. Its description in RNAcentral is "partial 16S ribosomal RNA". It matches the Rfam family "Bacterial small subunit ribosomal RNA", at positions 509 to 807 of the family's 1533-position model. The record is from RNAcentral.